UACGGAGGGUGCAAGCGUUAUCCGGAUUUACUGGGUUUAAAGGGUGCGUAGGUGGACAUUUAAGUCAGCGGUGAAGUCUCCGGGCUUAACUCGGAAAUUGCCAUUGAUACUAUUUGUCUUGAAUUAUCUGGAGGUGAGCGGAAUAUGUCAUGUAGCGGUGAAAUGCUUAGAUAUGACAUAGAACACCAAUUGCGAAGGCAGCUCACUACGGAUAUAUUGACACUGAGGCACGAAAGCGUGGGGAUCAAACAGG
This 253-nucleotide ribosomal RNA is filed under the name uncultured bacterium. RNAcentral's name for it is "partial 16S ribosomal RNA". It matches the Rfam family "Bacterial small subunit ribosomal RNA", at positions 524 to 776 of the family's 1533-position model. The record is from RNAcentral.